RNAcentral lists this long non-coding RNA (913 nucleotides) under Gallus gallus (chicken). RNAcentral's name for it is "lncRNA (ENSGALG00010026055.1)". The record is from RNAcentral. Lineage: Eukaryota; Metazoa; Chordata; Aves; Galliformes; Phasianidae.
GGCAGACAGGGGAGGCCUGCAUAUACGGCACCACAUCCCUCGUCUCCCACUGCCUGACGAAGGGGGAGAACAUUGCCUUUGUCCUGAAGGACAUAGGAGUUCUCCUCAUUGAUGGAACACGAGUUCAAAUGAAAUACUACCGCAACUUCCUGGAGAGGAUUUGUGGGAAGGAGGACUUAAAAAUAGCUCUUUCCAAGGUCCCCUGCUUGAGGGACAUGGUGGUUUCCCGGGUGGCGGUGUUGGCCUCCCUGACGUUCUCCGGACGGGUCAUCGUCUUUCCCAAGUUUCAACAGGAGUUCGUACCAAAACCACCUCCCAGGAAACCCCGCGAGGCCUCAGAAGUCCCUCCGGACCAGGGCAAGAAAGGGACAUUCCCUGAAUUGCCUCCCUUGCCCGGCUGCGUCCGUGUUACUUUUCUACAAGACCCGGGAUCCAGGAAGAAAUCAGGUGUCACCACCAAGAAGUCCAGUCAGCUGCCAGCAACCCCAGAGGGGUCUUCUACCAGAACGCAGCCCGGGAAAAAGAAAGAGGGAAAAUCCACUGCGAAAAGCAAAGCAAAGAAGAUGGGUCCUGCAAAGGCAGUGGAACCAAAGAGUUACACAGAAGAACACAGAGCAGUGAAAGUCCCCACUCAAGGAGGAGUGCCAGAAAAGGCACAAGCAAACCUCCAGAGCCAUAGUGGAGCCCCAUCCCCGGUGCAAACACCAAUAGCAUCUCUAUGGUGUCGGAGCUCUGAGACCAGCCUUCUCCAGGAGCCCAACGACAAUAAGUCUGGACAGCAUCCACCGGGAUCCACGUCACAAAAACUGCUCAAGUUAAGGGGUGAGAUGUCCAGGCCAGUGCUGGAAAAGCCUCACAAGACAGCUUGGCUGACAUCUCACUCUGAGUCCAGCCUGCCUGAGGAGCACACCAG